This 1615-nucleotide long non-coding RNA is filed under the name Homo sapiens (human). Its description in RNAcentral is "HSALNT0040321". Lineage: Eukaryota; Metazoa; Chordata; Mammalia; Primates; Hominidae. The record is from RNAcentral.
UGCACCGCGAGCCUGUGGCCUGAUUUCUCCCCCUCCAUUGUUGUCGCUAAUACAAAAGGCUACAACUCCAGUGUGGUCACUGGGCCUGCAUUGAAUUACACGCCAGGCCAUUCUUCGGGCCGGAGCCUUUGUAGGCUGGGAUGCGUUUCCUCCCAGGGCCAGAACUCUGGGCCUCGCCAGCCUUUACGAGUUGUCUGCCUCCCUCCGCCACUUCCACCCACCUACCGCCUUUGUUCCUUUCAGCUGGCAGCCAGGCCCUCGCUUGCCUUUUGGUUGGUAUGAGAUCACUGGCGGCGGGCUUGAGCAGUCCUUCCCACCCGCUCCCCUCACUCUCAAUUAAGCACUGCGCGUAAAAUCCCAGGCCUAUUCAGUCAUCUCUUCUUAUCUCUUUCUCAACCAUCCCCCCAACACCCAUCCCUCUCUCUCAAGUUUCUAAGGCUGCCGUUGCUAGGGAACUCAAACCUGAGGGCUGAAGGGAGGUUUUCUAAGGUGUCUGCCAAACUCCCAAAACUCAGAGGGCGGAGGCAGCACAAAGUCUUUGGGAUUCCCCAAACGCUGAAGAGAGUUACAUGUAACUCACCACCCUCUACCCCAUAUCCUUGUGUUCAGCAUCAUGUUUGGAUUCCGGGAAAUUCAGUGGUGAAGUGGGAAAAGAGAUUUCAAAUCACACUAAGAAGCAAUUUCUCCUAAUGUAAAAGCUGGAAGGGGUCUCCUCUCAAAGGAAAAACAUCCCAAGCUUCUGCCCUGGGUGCAAGGCAUGGAGGUACAAUAGAAAGAAGCAGAAGACUUUGUUGCAUGUUCUUCUGAUUGUGGUCCGUGGAUCAGCAGCAACAGCAUCAUCUGGGAGUUGGUUGAAACACAGAAUCUCUAGCCCUACCCAGGCCUAUUGCAGCAGAAUCUGCCUUGUAAAAAGACCCCCAAGUGAUUUUUACAUUAUUACCAGAAAUAGACUGCUCUACUCUACAACACCCCCUCUAUCAGAGAUAAUGUUCAAAAGUGGUUUGAUUAUUUUGAAAUGGCAUUUUCCUUUCUGGGGAAAAAACUAUAGAAAUCAUUGGCUACAUCGGUCAAAAAUGGCACUAGUACUCCAGUGACAGAGAACAAUGAAAUGUAGCAUGCUAUCAUUAGUGUAAGAAAAUGCCAACAGACACCUGUGAUCAAUGAGGCUUGCAUUUGUGGUAAUUUUGGGACUCCUCCAUCCACAUUCUCUUGACCCAGGCUUCCUAUGACCAAAUGUUCACUUUUGCAAGAUGGCUGAGGUUAAGAGUGCAAUCUGGCCACAGAAAGGAGAAAAGCUUGCUGACCCAUGCUGACCUCUGACCUUGACCUCAUUAGCUAACCAAAUGAGCUAACCAGCCAUGGACAUCAGAGAGCAUUAUGUGUUGAUUGAGCCGAAGCAUAAGAAGGACCAGUAAAAGAUCAGUCAUAAAGACAUUUCUACCUUGAUCACCUAUACUUAUUAAAAUGAUAUGAGGAGCACAUAUGCGAUUUCUUUUCUAUCUUCCUGCAUUUUUCACCAUUGUACAGCAGGACUUGAAGACAACAAAAGGUUCUUUUCUUUCAUAGCUCUCUACUCUUUUCCUUCAAAGUAAUUAAAUUGUAAUUAUAAAUUUAU